Molecule: transfer RNA, 67 nt
Filed under: Hercostomus brevipilosus
Lineage: Eukaryota; Metazoa; Arthropoda; Insecta; Diptera; Dolichopodidae
Description: tRNA-Phe
Rfam family: tRNA
About the family: Transfer RNA (tRNA) molecules are approximately 80 nucleotides in length. Their secondary structure includes four short double-helical elements and three loops (D, anti-codon, and T loops). Further hydrogen bonds mediate the characteristic L-shaped molecular structure. tRNAs have two regions of fundamental functional importance: the anti-codon, which is responsible for specific mRNA codon recognition, and the 3' end, to which the tRNAs corresponding amino acid is attached (by aminoacyl-tRNA synthetases). tRNAs cope with the degeneracy of the genetic code in two manners: having more than one tRNA (with a specific anti-codon) for a particular amino acid; and 'wobble' base-pairing, i.e. permitting non-standard base-pairing at the 3rd anti-codon position.
Source: RNAcentral
GUUUAAAUAGCUUAUAAUUAGAGCAUGACACUGAAGAUGUUAGGGAGAUAUAUUAUAUCUUUGAACA